RNAcentral lists this ribosomal RNA (253 nucleotides) under uncultured bacterium. RNAcentral's name for it is "partial 16S ribosomal RNA". It matches the Rfam family "Bacterial small subunit ribosomal RNA", at positions 524 to 776 of the family's 1533-position model. The record is from RNAcentral.
UACAGAGGUCUCAAGCGUUGUUCGGAUUCAUUGGGCGUAAAGGGCGCGUAGGCGGGCGGUCAAGUCGGAGGUGAAAGCCUGCAGCUCAACUGCAGAAGUGCCCCCGAAACUGAUCAUCUCGAGGGAGGUAGGGGCGUGCGGAACUUCCGGUGGAGCGGUGAAAUGCGUAGAUAUCGGGAGGAACACCGGUGGCGAAAGCGGCGCGCUGGACCACUACUGACGCUGAAGAACGAAAGCGAGGGGAGCAAACAGG